RNAcentral lists this ribosomal RNA (253 nucleotides) under uncultured bacterium. Its description in RNAcentral is "partial 16S ribosomal RNA". It matches the Rfam family "Bacterial small subunit ribosomal RNA", at positions 524 to 776 of the family's 1533-position model. The record is from RNAcentral.
UACGGGGGGGGCAAGCGUUGUUCGGAAUUACUGGGCGUAAAGGGCUCGUAGGCGGCCAACUAAGUCGGAUUUGAAAUCCCCAGGCUCAACUUGGGAACUGCAUCCGAUACUGGAUGGCUUGAAUUCGGGAGAGGGAUGCAGAAUUCCAGGUGUAGCGGUGAAAUGCGUAGAUAUCUGGAGGAAUACCGGUGGCGAAGGCGGCAUCCUGGACCGACAUUGACGCUGAGGAGCGAAAGCUAGGGGAGCAAACGGG